Molecule: long non-coding RNA, 190 nt
Filed under: Chinchilla lanigera (long-tailed chinchilla)
Lineage: Eukaryota; Metazoa; Chordata; Mammalia; Rodentia; Chinchillidae
Description: lncRNA (ENSCLAG00000026622.1)
Source: RNAcentral
UUUGGAUUUUUGAUCAGCAAACAAAGUGCCUUCUGAACUAAGGACACAAGGUGUAAAGUCCUGUUUUUCCUCUGUUUGGUGACUAUGGGUUUUGUUGUACUCAGCAGACCUUUUGUCUAACGCAUUGACACCUUGAUGAAAAACAAAAGGUAGAUUCAUCAAAAGAGACAAGAUUACUUGAAUCAUAAAU